RNAcentral lists this ribosomal RNA (252 nucleotides) under uncultured bacterium. RNAcentral describes it as "partial 16S ribosomal RNA". It matches the Rfam family "Bacterial small subunit ribosomal RNA", at positions 524 to 776 of the family's 1533-position model. The record is from RNAcentral.
UACCGAGGAUGCGAGCGUUAUCCGGAUUUAUUGGGUUUAAAGGGUGCGUAGGCGGACUGUCAAGUCAGCGGUAAAAUUGAGAGGCUCAACCUCUUCCCGCCGUUGAAACUGGUGGUCUUGAGUGGAUGAGAAGUACGCGGAAUGCGUGGUGUAGCGGUGAAAUGCAUAGAUAUCACGCAGAACUCCGAUUGCGAAGGCAGCGUACCGGCAUCCAACUGACGCUGAGGCACGAAAGCGUGGGGAUCAAACAGG